UCCGCUUUAGCUCAGUCGGUAGAGCGCAUGACUGUUAAUCAUGAUGUCGUAGGUUCAAGUCCUACAAGCGGAG
This 73-nucleotide transfer RNA is filed under the name Carnobacteriaceae bacterium zg-C25. It matches the Rfam family "tRNA". From Rfam's summary of the family: Transfer RNA (tRNA) molecules are approximately 80 nucleotides in length. Their secondary structure includes four short double-helical elements and three loops (D, anti-codon, and T loops). Lineage: Bacteria; Bacillati; Bacillota; Bacilli; Lactobacillales; Carnobacteriaceae. RNAcentral also lists the same sequence under 2 other names. The record is from Rfam by way of RNAcentral.